CCUACGGGAGACAGCAGUGAGGAAUAUUGGUCAAUGGGCGCGAGCCUGAUGCAGCCAAGUAGCGUGAAGGAUGGCUGCCCUACGGGUUGUAAACUUCUUUUAUAAAGGAAUAAAGUGAGGCACGUGUGCCUUUUUGUAUGUACUUUAUGAAUAAGGAUCGGCUAACUCCGUGCCAGCAGCCGCGGUAAUACGGAGGGUCCGAGCGUUAUCCGGAUGUAUUGGGUUUAAAGGGAGCGUAGAUGGGUUGUUAAGUCAGUUGUGAAAGGUUGCGGCUCAACCGUAAAAUUGCAAUUGAUACUGGCAGUCUUGAGUACAGGUGAGGUAGGCGGAAUUCGUGGUGUAGCGGUGAAAUGCUUAGAUAUCACGAAGAACUCCGAUUGCGAAGGCAGCUUACUAAACUGCCACUGACAUUGAUGCUCGAAAGUGUGGGUAUCAAACAGGAUUAGAUACCCGGGUAGUC
Molecule: ribosomal RNA, 460 nt
Filed under: uncultured bacterium
Lineage: Bacteria
Description: partial 16S ribosomal RNA
Rfam family: Bacterial small subunit ribosomal RNA
Source: RNAcentral